This 789-nucleotide ribosomal RNA is filed under the name uncultured archaeon. RNAcentral describes it as "bacterial SSU rRNA". It matches the Rfam family "Archaeal small subunit ribosomal RNA", at positions 88 to 879 of the family's 1478-position model. The record is from RNAcentral.
GCUCAGUAACACGUGGACAACGUGCCCUAAAGUGGAGCAUAAUCUCGGGAAACUGAGGAUAAUUCUCCAUAGACCAUGAGAUCUGGAAUGACUUAUGGUUCAAAGUUCCGGCGCUUUAGGAUCGGUCUGCGGCCUAUCAGGUAGUAGUGGGUGUAACGUACCCCCUAGCCAGUUACGGGUAUGGGCCUUGAGAGAGGGAGCCCAGAGUUGGAUUCUGAGACACGAAUCCAGGCCCUACGGGGCGCAGCAGUCGCGAAAACUUCACAAUGGGCGAAAGCCCGAUGAGGGAAUUCCUAGUGCUAGCACAUUUGUGCUAGCUUUUCCUUAGCGUAGAUAACUAGGGGAAUAAGGGCUGGGUAAGACGGGUGCCAGCCGCCGCGGUAAUACCCGCAGCCCGAGUGGUGGUCGAUUUUAUUGAGUCUAAAACGUUCGUAGCCGGUCUGAUAAAUCCCUGGGUAAAUCGGGUGGCUUAACCAUCCGAAUUCCGGGGAGACUGUCAGGCUUGGGAUCGGGAGAGGUAUGAGGUACUUCAGGGGUAGGGGUAAAAUCCUGUAAUCCUUGGAGGACCACCGGUGGCGAAGGCGUCAUACUAGAACGAAUCCGACGGUGAGGGACGAAGCCCUAGGUCGCAAACGGGAUUAGAUACCCCGGUAGUCUAGGGUGUAAACGCUGCAGACUAGGUGUUGGAGGCCCUACGGGGGCACCCAGUGCCCGAGAGAAGUUGUUAAGUCUGCUACUUGGGGAGUACGUCCGCAAGGAUGAAACUUAAAGGAAUUGGCGGGGGAGCAC